RNAcentral lists this ribosomal RNA (478 nucleotides) under uncultured bacterium. Its description in RNAcentral is "partial 16S ribosomal RNA". It matches the Rfam family "Bacterial small subunit ribosomal RNA", at positions 28 to 507 of the family's 1533-position model. The record is from RNAcentral.
GAUGAACGCUAGCGGCAGGCCUAACACAUGCAAGUCGAGGGAGAAGCCCUUUCGGGGGCCGAAACCGGCGCACGGGUGCGUAAAGCGUAUGCAACCUACCUUUCACAGGGGGAUAGCCCGAAGAAAUUUGGAUUAAUACCCCAUAAUAUUAUUGGAUGGCAUCAUUUGAUAAUUAAAACUGCGGUGGUGAAAGAUGGGCAUGCGUCCUAUUAGCUAGUUGGAGUGGUAACGGCACCCCAAGGCUACGAUAGGUAGGGGUCCUGAGAGGGAGAUCCCCCACACUGGUACUGAGACAGGGACCAGACUCCUACGGGAGGCAGCAGUGAGGAAUAUUGGUCAAUGGUCGGAAGACUGAACCAGCCAUGCCGCGUGCAGGAAGAAUGCCUUAUGGGUUGUAAACUGCUUUUAUAUGGGAAGAAUAAGGCGUACGUGUACGUUGAUGACGGUACCAUAUGAAUAAGCAUCGGCUAACUCCGUG